This 543-nucleotide long non-coding RNA is filed under the name Homo sapiens (human). RNAcentral's name for it is "HSALNT0327712". Lineage: Eukaryota; Metazoa; Chordata; Mammalia; Primates; Hominidae. The record is from RNAcentral.
AUGGUCACCAGUAUUAAAAUGCCACAAAAAAAGCACUGAAAAAAAGUAAUUGUUGACCUUGCUGAGGAGCAUUUCAAUGGAGUAGCUGUGGGAGAAAGCUCAUUACAUUCCCAGAAAAUUGGAGCAAGUGUGGAGGACGGGGGCAGUUAGAUUCAUCAUGAAAAAAGAUUUUGUUUUUUGGAUCCCUUUGCAAACAACAGAACAAGGACAUGGAGAACGCUGGCAAGCAUGAUGGACAAGAAAGAAAGAAGUGAAGAUGAAAGGGAAUGAAUAGCAGUCCUAUAAGGGGAGGGAGGAGAACCUGGACAAAAAAAAAAAAAGGAAGUUGCUGAGAAGUCCAGAGAAAUCCAGGAUUAUGGACUACAAAUCUGACCUAAGAUUUAGAAGCCUUCAGAAUCAAGGAAUUAGAAAACGAAUUAUAAAUAGACUUGAAUUAGUCUGCAUUCUGUGGCAAACUCAUUUAUAUGUUUUCCAGAAGCUAUGAUCAGCAUCAACACUGAAAUGUCUCUGAAACCAAUUUUACUGUACUUACAUACCUGAGAA